GGCAGGCAAUGAGCUAGAAUGCAGGAAGGUGGGGGGGGCCAUCCCCUUGGCAAACUAGGAACCGGGCUGAGACGGGUGGGAACCCAGGCAAGGUCAUGCAGCCGCCAGGGAGCAGGACUGGGAUGGGACUUAACCCACAGUUUGAAACCUAUGCUUUCCAUACAGCCAUGCACCUGGGCUGGGGCCGAGGCCCAGGGGCCCGCUAUGUUCUGGGCAUCUGGGGACUGACCUCUGUUGUCAUGUUUCUGCCUGCAGGUGACUCAAGAGCUGGAGGAGCCAGUGGGGUGGCAGGAGGGGCAGCAGCCAGAGGCAAGCGGGAAACCGGAAACUGUGGGCCUGAGAGCCGGGGCCCAGUGCCUGGCCUGCAUCUGCCAGCUGUGGGACCCCGGACAAACUACGGAGGGUGUCUGAGCCUGUUUCUUCAUCUGUGAAACGGCUGCGGAGAUACAGAACCGCCCUCCUCCGCGAUCCACACCCACGCCCGAGAACCACCGCUGACCGGGAAACACCACUCUCUAGAAGACCACCCCGGCUCCGUGACUGGGACACUCCGUGGCCCUUUCCGCUAGUCUGAGAGGGUCGAAGGCGGACCGGCACGUUCGCACAUGCAAACAGGAGCAUCCCCCAGCCCCCACGACAUUUUCUGGGAUUCACCAUCGGUUGAAGUUGACUUUCAAAGCUUUGGGUUCGGGAGCCCUCCCUGCUGCUGAAAAGGAGAAUCCUCAAGAACUGAGAGGCUGGGGUACAGUUCAUGAGUGUCAACAUCUAUGGGACGGAUGAGGAACAGCCACAGCCUUUCAUGCUUGUGAGGGUUAAUUUUCGGAGCAGGCAAAAGGAUGCCAGCUAUGGAAAUGGACAACUUUAACUGAUGGUUUUUAGCUGGGUGGCAAACGGAACACGGUGACGUGGCCAGCCAUCGGCCCUUCUCUGCCCAUGUGAGGGUCUCGUGAGACCUUCCUCCCAGACCGUUAUCAGACCCUACAUUGCAGCCAGUCGACUGAUUAAUUAAAUAACACAAGUUAUAAAACUUUAAAAA
This is a long non-coding RNA of Canis lupus familiaris (dog), 1036 nucleotides long. RefSeq lists it as uncharacterized. Lineage: Eukaryota; Metazoa; Chordata; Mammalia; Carnivora; Canidae. The record is from RefSeq and is a predicted model, not a curated record. The transcript has 2 exons.